GAUCCUGGCUCAGGAUGAACGCUAGCUACAGGCUUAACACAUGCAAGUCGAGGGGCAGCAUGUUGGUUGCUUGCAACCAAUGAUGGCGACCGGCGCACGGGUGAGUAACGCGUAUCCAACCUUCCGCAUACUCGGGAAUAGCCUUUCGAAAGAAAGAUUAAUGCCCGAUGGUUUCCCGAAUCCGCAUGAGAACGGGAAUAAAGAUUCAUCGGUAUGCGACGGGGAUGCGUCCCAUUAG
RNAcentral lists this ribosomal RNA (238 nucleotides) under uncultured bacterium. Its description in RNAcentral is "partial 16S ribosomal RNA". It matches the Rfam family "Bacterial small subunit ribosomal RNA", at positions 15 to 244 of the family's 1533-position model. The record is from RNAcentral.